Molecule: ribosomal RNA, 762 nt
Filed under: uncultured archaeon
Lineage: Archaea
Description: bacterial SSU rRNA
Rfam family: Archaeal small subunit ribosomal RNA
Source: RNAcentral
GGAUAACCUGCCCUUGGGUCCGGCAUAACCCCGGGAAACUGGGGAUAAUUCCGGAUAACGCAUAUGUGCUGGAAUGCUUUAUGCGUAAAAUGGAUUCGUCUGCCCAAGGAUGGGUCUGCGGCCUAUCAGGUAGUAGUGGGUGUAAUGUACCUACUAGCCAACAACGGGUACGGGUUGUGAGAGCAAGAGCCCGGAGAUGGAUUCUGAGACAUGAAUCCAGGCCCUACGGGGCGCAGCAGGCGCGAAAACUUUACAAUGCGGGAAACCGUGAUAAGGGGACACCGAGUGCCAGCAUCAUAUGCUGGCUGUCCAGGUGUGUAAAAUACACCUGUCAGCAAGGGCCGGGCAAGACCGGUGCCAGCCGCCGCGGUAACACCGGCGGCCCGAGUGGUGAUCGUGAUUAUUGGGUCUAAAGGGUCCGUAGCCGGUUUGGUCAGUCCUCCGGGAAAUCUGACGGCUCAACCGUUAGGCUUUCGGGGGAUACUGCCAGGACUUGGAACCGGGAGAGGUAAGAGGUACUACAGGGGUAGGAGUGAAAUCUUGUAAUCCCUGUGGGACCACCUGUGGCGAAGGCGUCUUACCAGAACGGGUUCGACGGUGAGGGACGAAAGCUGGGGGCACGAACCGGAUUAGAUACCCGGGUAGUCCCAGCCGUAAACGAUGCUCGCUAGGUGUCANGCAUGGCGCGACCGUGUCUGGUGCCGCAGGGGAAGCCGUGAAGCGAGCCACCUGGGGAAGUACNGCCGCAAGGCUGAAACUUAA